CAACCUGAACGCCCCGCGCGCCAUCACGCUGUCGGCGCUCAUCUACUGUCUGCGCUGCCUGGUGGGGCCGCGACAUCCCGCUCAACCAGGGUUGCCUGGUGCCGGUGCGAGUCGUGAUUCCUCCAGGCUCCAUCCUCGACCCGUCCCCGGAGGCGGCUGUGGUGGGCGGCAACGUGCUCACCUCCCAGCGCGUGGUGGACGUCAUCCUAGGGGCCUUCGGGGCCUGCGCCGCCUCGCAGGGCUGCAUGAACAACGUGACGCUGGGCAAUGCGCACAUGGGCUACUACGAGACGGUGGCGGGCGGCGCGGGCGCGGGCCCCGGCUGGCACGGGCGCAGCGGCGUGCACAGCCACAUGACCAACACGCGCAUCACCGACCCCGAGAUCCUGGA
This is a long non-coding RNA of Choloepus didactylus (southern two-toed sloth), 391 nucleotides long. RefSeq lists it as uncharacterized. The transcript is spliced from 3 exons. NCBI's taxonomy places the organism in Eukaryota, Metazoa, Chordata, Mammalia, Pilosa, Megalonychidae. The record is from RefSeq and is a predicted model, not a curated record.